RNAcentral lists this transfer RNA (83 nucleotides) under Pseudovibrio ascidiaceicola. Its description in RNAcentral is "tRNA_Leu_TAG". It matches the Rfam family "tRNA". Rfam says of the family: Transfer RNA (tRNA) molecules are approximately 80 nucleotides in length. Their secondary structure includes four short double-helical elements and three loops (D, anti-codon, and T loops). Lineage: Bacteria; Pseudomonadati; Pseudomonadota; Alphaproteobacteria; Hyphomicrobiales; Stappiaceae. The record is from RNAcentral. RNAcentral also lists the same sequence under 11 other names.
GCGGCUGUGGCGAAAUUGGUAGACGCACUAGAUUUAGGUUCUAGCGGGAGACCGUGGGGGUUCGAGUCCCUCCAGCCGCACCA